This 253-nucleotide ribosomal RNA is filed under the name uncultured bacterium. Its description in RNAcentral is "partial 16S ribosomal RNA". It matches the Rfam family "Bacterial small subunit ribosomal RNA", at positions 524 to 776 of the family's 1533-position model. The record is from RNAcentral.
UACGAAGGGGGCUAGCGUUGUUCGGAAUUACUGGGCGUAAAGCGCGUGUAGGCGGUUGUCCAAGUUGGAUGUGAAAGCCUUGAGCUUAACUCAAGAAAUGCAUUCAGGACUGGAUGACUAGAGGACCGGAGAGGGUAGUGGAAUUCCCAGUGUAGUGGUGAAAUACGUAGAGAUUGGGAAGAACACCAGUGGCGAAGGCGGCUAUCUGGACGGUUUCUGACGCUAAGACGCGAAAGCGUGGGGAGCAAACAGG